This 305-nucleotide ribosomal RNA is filed under the name uncultured bacterium. RNAcentral describes it as "bacterial SSU rRNA". It matches the Rfam family "Bacterial small subunit ribosomal RNA", at positions 168 to 507 of the family's 1533-position model. The record is from RNAcentral.
ACCGCAUGAUACCUGAGGGUCAAAGGCGCAAGUCGCCUUAGGAGGAGCCUGCGUCUGAUUAGGUAGUUGUGGGGUAAAGGCCUACCAAGCCUACGAUCAGUAGCUGGUCUGAGAGGAUGAUCAGCCACAUUGGGACUGAGACACGGCCCAGACUCCUACGGGAGGCAGCAGUGGGGAAUAUUGGACAAUGGGCGCAAGCCUGAUCCAGCAAUGCCGCGUGGAUGAAGAAGGUCUUCGGAUUGUAAAGUCCUUUUGGCGGGACGAUGAUGACGGUACCCGCAGAAUAAGCUCCGGCUAACUUCGUG